This 497-nucleotide ribosomal RNA is filed under the name uncultured bacterium. RNAcentral describes it as "partial 16S ribosomal RNA". It matches the Rfam family "Bacterial small subunit ribosomal RNA", at positions 28 to 507 of the family's 1533-position model. The record is from RNAcentral.
GAUGAACGCUGGCGGCGUGCCUAAUACAUGCAAGUCGAGCGAACAGAUAAGGAGCUUGCUCCUUUGACGUUAGCGGCGGACGGGUGAGUAACACGUGGGUAACCUACCUAUAAGACUGGAAUAACUCCGGGAAACCGGGGCUAAUGCCGGAUAACAUUUAGAACCGCAUGGUUCUAAAGUGAAAGAUGGUUUUGCUAUCACUUAUAGAUGGACCCGCGCCGUAUUAGCUAGUUGGUAAGGUAACGGCUUACCAAGGCAACGAUACGUAGCCGACCUGAGAGGGUGAUCGGCCACACUGGAACUGAGACACGGUCCAGACUCCUACGGGAGGCAGCAGUAGGGAAUCUUCCGCAAUGGGCGAAAGCCUGACGGAGCAAAGCCGCGUGAGUGAUGAAGGUCUUCGGAUCGUAAAACUCUGUUAUUAGGGAAGAACAAAUGUGUAAGUAACUGUGCACGUCUUGACGGUACCUAAUCAGAAAGCCACGGCUAACUACGUG